This is a transfer RNA of Zhouia amylolytica AD3, 74 nucleotides long. It matches the Rfam family "tRNA". Rfam says of the family: Transfer RNA (tRNA) molecules are approximately 80 nucleotides in length. Their secondary structure includes four short double-helical elements and three loops (D, anti-codon, and T loops). Further hydrogen bonds mediate the characteristic L-shaped molecular structure. tRNAs have two regions of fundamental functional importance: the anti-codon, which is responsible for specific mRNA codon recognition, and the 3' end, to which the tRNAs corresponding amino acid is attached (by aminoacyl-tRNA synthetases). tRNAs cope with the degeneracy of the genetic code in two manners: having more than one tRNA (with a specific anti-codon) for a particular amino acid; and 'wobble' base-pairing, i.e. permitting non-standard base-pairing at the 3rd anti-codon position. Lineage: Bacteria; Pseudomonadati; Bacteroidota; Flavobacteriia; Flavobacteriales; Flavobacteriaceae. The record is from Rfam.
GUGGUUGUAGCUCAGCUGGUUAGAGCGCUGGAUUGUGGUUCCAGAGGUCGCCGGUUCGAACCCGGUCUUCCACC